RNAcentral lists this ribosomal RNA (496 nucleotides) under uncultured bacterium. RNAcentral's name for it is "partial 16S ribosomal RNA". It matches the Rfam family "Bacterial small subunit ribosomal RNA", at positions 28 to 507 of the family's 1533-position model. The record is from RNAcentral.
GAUGAACGCUGGCGGCGUGCCUAAUACAUGCAAGUCGAGCGAACAGAUAAGGAUCUUGCUCCUUUGACGUUAGCGGCGGACGGGUGAGUAACACGUGGGUCACCUACCUGUAAGACUGGAAUAACUCCGGGAAACCGGGGCUAAUGCCGGAUAACAUUUAGCACUGCAUGGUUCUAAAGUGAAAGUUGGUUUUGCUAUCUCUUAUCGCUGCACCCGCGCCGUAUUGUCUAGUUGGUAAGUUCACGGCUUACUAAGGCAACGAUACGUAGCCGACCUGCUAGGGGGUAGCGGCACAGGGGAGGUGAGAGCCGGACCAGACGCCGACGGGAGGCAGCAGCAGGGAAGCUUCCGCAAUGGGCGAAAGACUGACGGAGGGACGCAGCGUGAGUGAUGAAGGUCUUCGGGUCGGAAAACGCUGUUAGUAGGGAAGAACAAAUGUGUAAGUAACGGUGCAUGUCUGAACGGAACCGAAUCAGAAAGCCACGGCAAAUUAGUG